UACACACCGCCCGUCACACCAUGGGAGUUGGUUUCACCCGAAGGCCGUGCGCUAACCGCAAGGAGGCAGCGGACCACGGUGGGAUCAGCGACUGGGGUG
RNAcentral lists this ribosomal RNA (99 nucleotides) under uncultured bacterium. RNAcentral's name for it is "partial 16S ribosomal RNA". It matches the Rfam family "Bacterial small subunit ribosomal RNA", at positions 1384 to 1482 of the family's 1533-position model. The record is from RNAcentral.